RNAcentral lists this non-coding RNA (38 nucleotides) under Phaeocystis antarctica. Lineage: Eukaryota; Haptophyta; Phaeocystales; Phaeocystaceae. The record is from RNAcentral.
GGUGCACACCGCGCUCACUGAGAUUCGUCACUUCCUGC